GAUGAAGAACGUAGCGAAAUGCGAUAAGUAAUGUGAAUUGCAGAAUUCAGUGAAUCAUCGAAUCUUUGAACGCACAUUGCGCCCGCUAGUAUUCUGGCGGGCAUGCCUGUCCGAGCGUCAUUUCAACCCUCAAGCCCCCGGGCUUGGUGUUGGGGAUCGGCGAGCCUCCGCGCCCGCCGUCCCCUAAAUCUAGUGGCGGUCUCGCUGUAGCUUCCUCUGCGUAGUAGCACACCUCGCACUGGGAAACAGCGCGGCCACGCCGUUAAACCCCCAACUUCUGAACGUUUGACCUCGGAUCAGGUAGGAAUACCCGCUGAACUUAAGCAUAACAAUAAGCGGAGGA
This 343-nucleotide unclassified non-coding RNA is filed under the name soil metagenome. RNAcentral describes it as "partial contains 5.8S ribosomal RNA, internal transcribed spacer 2, and large subunit ribosomal RNA". The stretch from base 1 to 120 matches the Rfam family "5.8S ribosomal RNA", at positions 35 to 154 of the family's 154-position model. The record is from RNAcentral.